Podarcis lilfordi (Lilford's wall lizard) is the source of this 2785-nucleotide non-coding RNA. NCBI's taxonomy places the organism in Eukaryota, Metazoa, Chordata, Lepidosauria, Squamata, Lacertidae. The record is from the annotation of a GenBank genome assembly.
AGUCUGACUUUCGGACGUGAUGCGAAAGGGAGAAUGUGUCAGUUCUCGCCAGGUCUGAAUUUAUGAUGUUAUUCUUCAUGAUUAAAAGGCAAGAGUAGAUAAGGACUGCCUUGUGUCUGGACUGAUUUAUUCCACACGUGCUGCACUCUGCUUCUCACCGCUGUGUUUCGCUCUGCUACCGGCAAGAGAAAGAGGCCUGAGGAGGAUUUUUGCAGGAGGCACGGAUAGCUUGCAGAGUUCCGCAACGGAAGCGUGCCGGGCUCCAUGUUCAGUCUCUGUGUACCCUCUUGUCCGGUGUAAAUAAUUCCAACAGGUUAUGGGAGCUCGCCAAAGCUUUGAAGCAUUGCAGGAACGUCCCACGUGUGGGGGAAGCCAGCAGGAAAGUUGCUGGGGUCCAGCUGGAGCUCUGGAGCUGUGUCUUUGAAGCUGGAAGGAGCUCGCUGGGGAGAAGCGAUCUGCCGGAGCCGGGAGGCGGAGAAAGCUACUGCCGGGAGACGUGAGUAAGCUUAGCCCCCGGGGAGGAGAUGGCAGACGAUCGUGAAUCAUUCUCAGUUCCCUUUGAGAAAUUAAAUGGACAAAAUUGGGCCGAAUGGAGCCGGAAGCUAAAGGCCUGGCUGGUAGCCAAGGGGUUGUGGGAGGCGACCCAGGGGCCCCCUCUCCCACCACCUGCAGCAGGAGCAGCAGCAGCGGACAUAGCGGCUGCUCACGCGUCGCAGAGGAAAAAACCAGAAAGCCCUGGGAGCUAUAGUGCUCAGUUUGGAGGGUUCCCAACUUCCUCUGGUUGAAGGGCUUGAGACUGCUCAGGAGGCCUACCAAGCCCUUGAGAGGGUGCACCACAGAACCACGGCUGGUGCAAAGAUCCACACCACCAGACGCUUAUUUGAGAUGAGGCUGCGUCCCGGUGGGAACAUCAGACAGCAUGUUACUGAGAUGCUUUCUGUUUUCAAUGAGUUGCGCCUGUUACAGGUCAACUUUUCAGAAGAGCUGAAGGUUUAUAUUUUGCUCAGCUCUCUGGACAAAAGUUAUGACAAUUUGUGUCUGUCUAUGGAAUCGAUGAGUCCACAGGAUUUGACGCUAUCGUACGUGACAGGGCGUCUUUCGGACGAACAGGAGAGGCGUGUCCGAGAAGGCAGGUCUGGCGCAGGCAGCUCCACCGGUUGCAGAGGUGGGGGGCAAGCCAGAUGAGAGCUGUGUUCAGGCUUUUUCCACUCGUCGAUGUUAUGUCUGUGGAUCCAACAGCCAUCUAAAACGGGCUUGUCCGCAGAAGAGCAGAGAGGCCGGGCAGGAUGUCUCCAAGGUCAACCAGCUGAGUUCUCAUGGGAACCAGUCUCGGAGAGGAGGCCAGCGUGGGAACGCGAAGGAGGGACGUGACUCAGAGAAGGGAGACUGUUAUCAUCUCGCGGCUUCUCUGGCAACUUUGAACAACAAUGCCAGCAGGGACACAACUAUGAAGUGGGUGCUGGACUCAGGAGCGAGUCAUCACCUGAUAACGCCAUCUGCUGGGGAGCUGCAGAAUUGCAGGGCUGUUUUAACUGGAAUGACUUGUAAAUUUGCUGACGGGAAAAAACGAAAUGUAUCUAAAGUGGCAAAUGUCUAUAAUUCUGUUUUGCAGGCUGAGCUGGAGUGCUUCAUUGUACCAGGGAUGAAGUGUUGCCUGUUAUCGGUUUCUGCUCUGGCGAAGCAGGGAUACAAAAUUUGUUUUGAAAAUAACACCUGUUCCAUUUUCAGAGGGGGAGGCAACUUGUCAACGUGGAGAGCAAGGACAAUCUCUUUGUUCUGGAAACACCUCUGGAGGGUGGUGGGAAUGCAGGGAAAGCACAGGCGCAGUGUGCUAGUGUUCCCAGCCAUGAUUCAUGUGUUCAUGUAUGGCACAAGAGAAUGUCUCAUGCUUGUCUGGAGGAUGUUAAGAGGCUGCCAGGCUGCACCGAAGGAUGUAAAAUCACACCAUGUGAGGGAUCCCUAGUGUGCAGGGCAUGCAGCAAGGUUCAAAGGUGCAGGGUUCCCCGGGUAAAGAGGGUAACCACAAAACCUUUUGAGUUGAUUCACACAGAUCUGUCAGGACCCAUGAGGUGUGAGAGUCUGGGUGGGGCCAAGUAUGUGCUAUCGCUGACAGAUGACCACAGCCAGGUUGGCUGGUGUUUCUCUCUCAAAUCACAGGGGGAGGCGGCGCAACUGAUCCAGGAUUGGGUUGCGGAGGUGGAACGAAGGUUUUCCACCAGGGUGCAAGGGUUCAAGAGCGACCGAGGGUCACAGUUUACUGGGUCUGCUCUGGAGGAGUUUUUCAAGGAAAAAGGAAUACGUCACCACGUGACGGGUGCAAAGUCUCCUCAAGGGAGAGGCGUGGCACAGCACAGGAGUGAAACACUGGCUGAAGCUGUCAGAGUUUUGCUGGGUGACUCUGGGCUGCCUCAGAGCUUUUGGAGUGAAGCUUGGAAAGCUGCCAACUUUGUUUUUAACAGGUCCUACAAUCACGAUGUAGGUGACACACCGUAUUUUCUGUUGCACAAGAGGAAGCCACAGGUGCAUUUCUUCCGUUCGUUUGGUUCCAAGGCUUCAGUGCCAAUACCAACAGCGCAACGGAAGAAGGAUGGUCCUAGGUACCAGGACAUGAUCUUCUGUGGGUAUGAUCCUGCAACAAAUGGGUGGAAGUUUGCAUACCCAGAGGGUGAUCAGACCACGCUGCUGGUCAGCAAGCAUGCUGAGUUCUUUGAGCAGGAUGGUUGGUCACAGCCUAGGUAUGGUUCUGAUUUUCUCUCAGACUGCUUGUCCGAUUCUGAGGGGGAGG